UGCUUCCGCCGACGACCGGCGCACGGGUGCGUAACGCGUAUACAAUCUACCUUGUACUGGGGUAUAGCCUUUAGAAAUGAAGAUUAACCCCCCAUAGUCUCUUAGAGUGGCAUCACUUCUAGAGUAAAGGUUACGGUAUAAGAUGAGUAUGCGUUCUAUUAGUUUGUUGGUGUGGUAACGGCACACCAAGACUACGAUAGAUAGGGGCCCUGAGAGGGGGAUCCCCCACACUGGUACUGAGACACGGACCAGACUCCUACGGGAGGCAGCAGUGAGGAAUAUUGGACAAUGGAGGCAACUCUGAUCCAGCCAUGCCGCGUGCAGGAAGACUGCCCUAUGGGUUGUAAACUGCUUUUAUACAGGAAGAAACACCUCUACGUGUAGAGGCUUGACGGUACUGUAAGAAUAAGGAUCGGCUAACUCCGUGCCAGCAGCCGCGGUAAUACGGAGGAUCCAAGCGUUAUCCGGAAUCAUUGGGUUUAAAGGGUCCG
This 491-nucleotide ribosomal RNA is filed under the name uncultured Bacteroidota bacterium. RNAcentral's name for it is "bacterial SSU rRNA". It matches the Rfam family "Bacterial small subunit ribosomal RNA", at positions 80 to 571 of the family's 1533-position model. Lineage: Bacteria; Pseudomonadati; Bacteroidota. The record is from RNAcentral.